CCCUAGGUUAAGAAUCUUAAUAAAAUUGUAUAUGCUUUCAAAUAUUCGUAUAUUUUAUUAAUUUGUAUGUGUAUUAAUGAAAUUGUGCAGAUGUCAAACCUGAUUAGACGUCGUAGGGCGAUGACGACUACGCAGAGUUCGGAGCCCCCGGCUCAGCCGACAUCUGCUGCCACUGCGCCAGCACUGAUGGACCACUUGGCAGUUGGUCCCGCGGGGUCCCAGGCGCCUACUUCAUCAGCUUCAUCAGUGGUGCAGCCUGUUAGCGCUAGGCGGCGUCAUCGCCCCACCAGC
This 291-nucleotide long non-coding RNA is filed under the name Prunus persica (peach). RNAcentral's name for it is "long non-coding RNA (PPER_LNC005163)". Lineage: Eukaryota; Viridiplantae; Streptophyta; Magnoliopsida; Rosales; Rosaceae. The record is from RNAcentral.